GAUCACAAAGUUGCAUCCAUGUCAUGACUUGUCAAUGCCAGAGGGAAUGAAUAUGGCUUAUAAUUUUCCUUACUUGGGGUUAACAGAACAAAACUCUCUUCAGUACACAUAGGGCAACAUGUGGCUUAGCCGAUUGGAACUUAUGUAUUUUCUUAAUUGGGUUAAGAAAAUAGAUAAUGCCCAACGGGUGCCAUAAAACAUAAAAAUCCAAAAUUGAAGAUCAUCAUUUCCCAGCAUUCUCAACAACCCAAAAGGUAAAGACUCCAUGCAUA
Molecule: unclassified non-coding RNA, 272 nt
Filed under: Hevea brasiliensis (rubber tree)
Lineage: Eukaryota; Viridiplantae; Streptophyta; Magnoliopsida; Malpighiales; Euphorbiaceae
Source: RNAcentral